GUUGGCCCUGCCUUCUCCUCAUCGCCGGGCAACGGGACACAGCCUCUCGCUUUCCACCAUAAGCUGACACAGGAAGCAGACCCUCACCAGAUGCCAGUAUCUUGAUGUUGGACUUUCCAGCCUUCAAAACUAAUCCUUAGGACAACAGGAUGGCAGAGUACCCAAGAGUCACGGCAAUGAAUGCCAGGGCAGCUCUGUGCCAGUCAUCACUGAUAGGAGUCAGAAGAUGCCGGCUCUGAAGCUGGGGUGGGCAGUAUUUCUGAAAGGACGAUUCUGGACUGGCACAAGCCUGAUCAAACUUCCACACACCUGUCCAUUCCUUGCAGUUUUCUACUUAGGCCAGCAGAUGGCAGCAAGUAUCGGCUGAACUAGGAAACCAACUUCGAACACCUUCAGAGUUGAGGUUCUUUUUGAUGCAUUUUCUUUGAUUUGUGCCAAUAAAAACAAUAAAAGUAAUUUACAUUUGCUUCA
Molecule: long non-coding RNA, 471 nt
Organism: Sapajus apella (tufted capuchin)
Lineage: Eukaryota; Metazoa; Chordata; Mammalia; Primates; Cebidae
Exons: 4
Source: RefSeq, a predicted model, not a curated record